Vicia villosa (hairy vetch) is the source of this 606-nucleotide long non-coding RNA. RefSeq lists it as uncharacterized. Lineage: Eukaryota; Viridiplantae; Streptophyta; Magnoliopsida; Fabales; Fabaceae. The transcript is spliced from 2 exons. The record is from RefSeq and is a predicted model, not a curated record.
AUAACCGAAGGAACAUCAACUACGAAAUGAAGUUAAAAGCCAAGGUUUUUAAAUAAAAUAUAAAGUUUUAAAUCUCUACCUUUAUAAAUAGAUAACUGAUUGUUGUAUUCAGUGUGUGGUAAUCAUGAACAAGACACACAUUACAUUAUUUUUUAUUUUGCUUAUUCUCCUUCCUUCUGAGAUGAUGGCACAAACAUUAAAAAGUCCAUGCAGCGAUGAAGAAUGCAAAUUGUAUUGUCUUUCUAAAGGUUGUAGAGAUGGUUACUGCUUAUCUGCUAACAAGUGCUUUUGCGUGCUUCCAUUACCGUUUUAAUUGCGCUUACAACCUCAUUUGCAUUAUCUCUAGAUUUUUCCGUUUUUGUUUCUUAGAUUGUGUUAUGGGUGUAUAUGUGAUAGACCCAUUAGAACAUUGAAGAAACCCAGCUGGCAGCAAGAUUAUAUUAUGAAUUAAAAAUAUUUUAUUUUGGUUUAAAUACUUUGUUUUUCCUUCAAGUGAGCUUGGCUCAGAGUUGUUUUGUAGUCAGCCUAUUUAACCCUUGUAUUUAUAGCAAGGAGAAGUGAAUUAUAAUAUUAUGCAGAAAUUAAAUAUGUCUUUACUUUCCUUUC